Molecule: non-coding RNA, 322 nt
Organism: Yersinia frederiksenii ATCC 33641
Lineage: Bacteria; Pseudomonadati; Pseudomonadota; Gammaproteobacteria; Enterobacterales; Yersiniaceae
Source: Rfam
GAUCUGGUGGAGAAGGACGGUAUCAGGAUGGUGCCACUUCAGGAUGAAGAACACAGGGACUGCUUAGGAUGAGUGAAGGGAUGUUUCAGGAUGAAACCAAGGACACCUCCAGGAUGGAGAUUGAGAGCCAGUUCAGGAUGAUUGGUGGGUUAGGAUAACCUUAGGAUUGACGCCGGGAUGGUGUAGGACAACGCGACGGAUUGCUGGUUAGGAUAACCACACGGAAAAGUUUUCAAGGAUUGAGCAGGGAGCAUCAAUUUUAGCUGGAUUGCUAUGAAACGAAUUGAGGGGUACUGGUAAAACAGUACCCCUUUUUUUAUCU